AAAGAAACCAACAGGGAUUGCCCUAGUAACGGCGAGUGAAGCGGCAACAGCUCAAAUUUGAAAUCUGGCCCUCGGGUCCGAGUUGUAAUUUGUAGAGGAUGCUUUUGGUGAGGUACCUUCCGAGUUCCCUGGAACGGGACGCCAUAGAGGGUGAGAGCCCCGUCUGGUUGGAUACCGAGCCUCUGUAAAGCUCCUUCGACGAGUCGAGUAGUUUGGGAAUGCUGCUCUAAAUGGGAGGUAUAUGUCUUCUAAAGCUAAAUACCGGCCAGAGACCGAUAGCGCACAAGUAGAGUGAUCGAAAGAUGAAAAGCACUUUGAAAAGAGAGUUAAAAAGUACGUGAAAUUGUUGAAAGGGAAGCGCUUAUGACCAGACUUGGGCUUGGUUGAUCAUCCUGGGUUCUCCCUGGUGCACUCUUCCAGUUCAGGCCAGCAUCAGUUCGCUGCGGGGGAUAAAAGUUUUGGGAAUGUGGCUCCCUCGGGAGUGUUAUAGCCCAUUGCAUAAUACCCUGCUCCGGACUGAGGUUCGCGCAUCUGCAAGGAUGCUGGCGUAAUGGUCAUCAGCGACCCGUCUUGAAACACGGACCAAGGAGUCGUCUUCGUAUGCGAGUGUUCGGGUGUUAAACCCCUACGCGUAAUGAAAGUGAACGCAGGUGAGAGCUUCGGCGCAUCAUCGACCGAUCCUGAUGUUCUCGGAUGGAUUUGAGUAAGAGCAUACGGGGCCGGACCCGAAAGAAGGUGAACUAUGCCUGUAUAGGGUGAAGCCAGAGGAAACUCUGGUGGAGGCUCGCAGCGGUUCUGACGUGCAAAUCGAUCGUCAAAUAUGGGCAUGGGGCGAAAGACUAAUCGAACCUUCUAGUAGCUGGUUUCCGCCGAAGUUUCCCUCAGGA
Molecule: ribosomal RNA, 887 nt
Filed under: Calonectria multiphialidica
Lineage: Eukaryota; Fungi; Ascomycota; Sordariomycetes; Hypocreales; Nectriaceae
Description: eukaryotic LSU rRNA
Rfam family: Eukaryotic large subunit ribosomal RNA
Source: RNAcentral